GGGGUUGUGGCUCAGUGAUAGAGUACUUGCCUAGCAAGUGUGAAGCAUUGGGUUUGAUUCUCACAGCACCA
Molecule: transfer RNA, 71 nt
Filed under: Marmota monax (woodchuck)
Lineage: Eukaryota; Metazoa; Chordata; Mammalia; Rodentia; Sciuridae
Rfam family: tRNA
About the family: Transfer RNA (tRNA) molecules are approximately 80 nucleotides in length. Their secondary structure includes four short double-helical elements and three loops (D, anti-codon, and T loops). Further hydrogen bonds mediate the characteristic L-shaped molecular structure. tRNAs have two regions of fundamental functional importance: the anti-codon, which is responsible for specific mRNA codon recognition, and the 3' end, to which the tRNAs corresponding amino acid is attached (by aminoacyl-tRNA synthetases). tRNAs cope with the degeneracy of the genetic code in two manners: having more than one tRNA (with a specific anti-codon) for a particular amino acid; and 'wobble' base-pairing, i.e. permitting non-standard base-pairing at the 3rd anti-codon position.
Source: Rfam by way of RNAcentral